RNAcentral lists this ribosomal RNA (253 nucleotides) under uncultured bacterium. Its description in RNAcentral is "partial 16S ribosomal RNA". It matches the Rfam family "Bacterial small subunit ribosomal RNA", at positions 524 to 776 of the family's 1533-position model. The record is from RNAcentral.
UACAGAGACUGCAAGCGUUAUUCGGAUUCACUGGGCGUAAAGGGUGCGCAGGCGGUUGGGUGGGUCAGGUGUGAAAGCCCGGGGCUUAACCCCGGAAUUGCGCCUGAAACUACAUGACUAGAGCAUUGGAGAGGGUAGCGGAAUUCACGGUGUAGCAGUGAAAUGCGUAGAUAUCAGGAGGAACACCGGUGGUGUAAACGGCUUUCUGGACCAUAACUGACGCUGAGGCACGAAAGCGUGGGUAGCAAACAGG